GGGAGUGAAAAAGAACCUGAAACCGUGUACGUACAAGCAGUGGGAGCACCCUUUGGGGUGUGACUGCGUACCUUUUGUAUAAUGGGUCAGCGACUUAUAUUCUGUAGCAAGGUUAACCGCAUAGGGGAGCCGGAGGGAAACCGAGUCUUAAUUGGGCGUUAAGUUGCAGGGUAUAGACCCGAAACCCGGUGAUCUAGCCAUGGGCAGGUUGAAGGUUGGGUAACACUAACUGGAGGACCGAACCGACUAAUGUUGAAAAAUUAGCGGAUGACCUGUGGCUGGGGGUGAAAGGCCAAUCAAACCGGGAGAUAGCUGGUUCUCCCCGAAAGCUAUUUAGGUAGCGCCUCGUGAAUUCAUCUCCGGGGGUAGAGCACUGUUUCGGCUAGGGGGCCAUCCCGGCUUACCAACCCGAUGCAAACUGCGAAUACCGGAGAAUGUUAUCACGGGAGACACACGGCGGGUGCUAACGUCCGUCGUGAAGAGGGAAACAACCCAGACCGCCAGCUAAGGUCCCAAAGUCAUGGUUAAGUGGGAAACGAUGUGGGAAGGCCCAGACAGCCAGGAUGUUGGCUUAGAAGCAGCCAUCAUUUAAAGAAAGCGUAAUAGCUCACUGGUCGAGUCGGCCUGCGCGGAAGAUGUAACGGGGCUAAACCAUG
RNAcentral lists this ribosomal RNA (656 nucleotides) under Salmonella enterica subsp. enterica serovar Stanleyville. RNAcentral's name for it is "partial 23S ribosomal RNA". It matches the Rfam family "Bacterial large subunit ribosomal RNA", at positions 534 to 1191 of the family's 2925-position model. The record is from RNAcentral. Lineage: Bacteria; Pseudomonadati; Pseudomonadota; Gammaproteobacteria; Enterobacterales; Enterobacteriaceae.